CUGGCAGUCAUUACAAAGUUCCCUAGGAACUAGGCUGGACAUGAGUACAGCCUACCAUCCACAGACCGACGGGCAAAGUGAGAGAACUAUCCAAACCUUAGAAGAUAUGUUGCGCGCCUGUGUGAUAGACUUUGGAAAAGCUUGGGAUACUCAUCUACCCCUUGUUGAAUUUUCCUACAACAAUAAUUAUCACACGAGCAUAAAGGCAACUCCAUUUGAGGCCCUCUAUGGCCGAAAGUGCAGAUCCCCUCUGUGCUGGGCUAAAGUAGGUGAUACCCAGUUAGCUAAGGGACGAGUUCCCGAAAGCACUCUCACGGGUCCGGAGAUCAUUCGGGAAACGAUAGAGAAGAUCGUUCAAAUUCGUGAACGAUUGAAAGCCUCUAGAGACCGACAGAAAAGCUACGCCGACAAGCGUAGGAAACCAUUGGAGUUCCAGGUGGGCGACCGAGUCCUACUGAAAGUCUCACCCUGGAAGGGCUUGAUACGCUUUGGAAAGCGUGGGAAGCUCAAUCCAAGAUACAUAGGGCCUUUCGAGAUUCUCGCAAGAAUCGGCCCUGUGGCUUACAAGCUCAAUCUACCGAAAGAACUCAGUAACGUACAUCCUACCUUCCACGUGUCAAACUUAAAAAAGUGCCUAUCCGACGAGACUCUUGUUAUUCCACUCGACGAGAUCGGGAUCAACGAGAGCCUCAACUUCGUGGAGGAACCAGUAGAGAUCAUCGACCGAGAGUUCAAGCAAACAAAGCAGAGCCGUAUCCCGAUAGUGAAGGUGCGCUGGAACGCAAAGCAUGGACCGGAAUUCACUUGGGAACGAGAGGAUCAGAUGAAACUGAAAUACCCUCAUCGUUUCGCUUAAUUAUGUGUACUUUCUUACUUGCUUAAAUUCUAACUUUAGGACGAAAUUCCUUCUAACGGGGGGAUGAGGUGACAACCCGAAAUUUCCAUUUAUACGAAAAAAAUCUAUUCAAUAGAAGCCAAUCCAAUUUCAGUGACUUUCAGACUUUUCCGAACAAGUUUGUGUACAUUAGGGUUUACACUUUAGGAGAUAUCAGCAGAGUGGAUACUCCUGGGUUUGUGAAAUUUGAACAUUUCAAGUUUCAUAAUGUUACAGUCCAAGUUCGAGAAUAAAAAUAUUUUCUGUCAAAAUAUUUCAGGACUAUAAAUAGUUUUCUGAAUUAAAUUAAUUCAUUAUUCACAAUUCCAACUAGAGAAAAGCCAUUUUCUCUCUGACAGAUCUUCGGGUUUUUAUCCCAGAUUGUGAGUAACUCUUUCUAGUAGUGUUAGAAUACAUAUUAGAUGCUUAAAACAUGAUUUAGAUGGCUAAAUCAUGAGAUCUAGGAGUUUACUCCCCAAGGUGUUCUUGGGCGGUAAACUCCCGAAACAAAGCCAAAACUGACAUUNCUCUUGUGUUAGGAUAAAGCCUUAGACCAUUAGGUAUGCAUGUUAGGGACAAGAAAACACACACAAAUCCAUCCAAGAUUGGGAGUUUACGACCCAGAACUCUAUUAGGGCCGUAAACUCCAUUUCCUAACCCUAAAUGGUGAUUUGAGGACUUAAGGACUUUAUGGCUUUCAUCUAGGUUAUUUUCCCAAGUAGCUUAAGGUCUUAAACACAUCACAUCACCUAAAGCCCUAAACCUUUACAAGAAAUUGUACCCACUAAAUGGAAGGACCAAACCACACCAAAAUCACAUAACCAAGUGAGUUUACGGCCAAGACAUGGUUCUUGGGACGUAAACUCCUAAAAAGGGCACUAAGGUGUGCCUAAUGCCUUCAUAUGCUAGGAAUAAAAGUCUAGAACAUAUCCCACAAGUGCAAGAGGCUUGAAAGCAACAAAGGAAACACCCUAAGGGAGUUUACGGCCGUAAAAUCCAAGGGGAAAUGGCCUUGAGGCCGUAAACUCCUAUUUGGAGUACUUCUAGACCUUAAACCCUUCCAAGGACAUAGCCACUAAGUUAGAAUAAUUAUAGAAAGCAAUUGGGACUUCAAAACACACCAAAGACACAUGUUUGGGAGUUUACGGCCGUAAACUUAAGAGUUUACAACCGUAAACUCCAUGUGUGAUGGUUUAAGGAGAGUAAACUCUCUUGUAGGGUCCUUUGGAAACCCUAAACUCAAGUACCAUGUCCCACAAUAGCUUAGAUGAAGUCCUUGAGGCUUAAAACACUUAUAUAAAGUGUUAUUUAUGUCUAGGAUGUCUUAAAAAUUAUCAAUUAGUCUUUUGAGUCUAAUUGAGUGCAUAUAUGUGUGAUUAUAUGUUCAUUAGGAUCGUAGUGUGUGCACAAGUCCUCGCUUGACACCUACCCAUCCUAUACUGUUCAGAUCAUUCCAAUCACCAACUACAGGUGAGUUCAUACCCCUUAAUCAAUGUUUUAAAGAAUUUUAAAUGCUUUAAUGGGGGGGGGGAAUACGAGUAGAAAACAAUAUGUUAUUAAAUCAAUUUUAUGUAUUUUAUAACUGUGUUUUCACUCAGUAGAUUUCACAUAUUUCAAAAGGUGUCACAUGAAAUGGUUUUCUAUCUUAAAAUACUUGGAUAACAGAAGUAUUAGUUUUGAAAUGUAUAAUGACUUCAAGUCACUUUAAAUUAUUGUUCAAAACUCCUAGAUAUCUUGCAAAACCAGUAUUUUUACCUUUUUGGAUCAAACUAUACUUAUGCGCAUAUGUUCAUUUAUAUGUUAGAGAUUAUAGUUUUCAUCCUUCGUUCAGUUUCCCGCACCCUGGCGUAUAAAAGGGUGCAUAAAUAUACUUGAACAACCACAUACUUUCCAGUUAGCUAUCAUAGGGAUAGUCAGAAGAUAUCAAACAAGAGUUAGUUCAUUCAUGAGUCUAUACCAAUACCUUACAUGAUACAUGAGUACACGUGCUUAGGAUUUCAUGAUACAUGAAUAUGUUUACAUAUACUUACCUGUUACAUGAACACACUUACAUGAAUACCAUACAGGAACACUUCUUCAUAGGUGCAUUAUCCUGUAUUUACUUACCUUGGAUACUUGUACUUAGAACUAAGAGGAUGAUUUAUUAGUACUUACUGUGUAAAUUGUCUUUCCUAUCCCGGUUCAAUGGGAUGUUUCGGCGGGACUUACCAUUCCGAAUCUCACUGAUUAGCACCAGUGGUCGAUGAACGUCUACGGAUGUCUAAGGUUGUCACUUAUUUAGUAGUCAGUGACGGGACUAACCAUCCCACUGUCCACUGUUGCAACAGUGGAUGAGAUGUGAAUCUUCGGAGGAUCAUUAGGUUGACGAUCUGCAUUAAGAGAUCGAUACGGGGACUAACCCUCCCUCCACCCUGCUGCUGCUACAGAGGAUGAGGGGACACUCUUCGGAUGUUCCAUAGGGUCUAUCUUUCGCUUCAGCGAUGUCGUGUUUGUCCUGGUAACCCAAGACAAUAACACUUACAUGAUUUUAUUUCCCCUGUUUACUUUAUUUUGUGAUUACUUUCACGUAAACAAGGAGUUAGACUAAGUGCUAUAGUACUAGUCAAUAGAAAGGAAAAACUAUCAUUUUACAUACAAAACAUUCGUGUCUUGGUAGAAGACUACACUUCAUACAUACAGAACAUUCGAGUCUUGGUAGAAGACUACAUUUCAUACUUAUAGAAAAUAAGGGUUUUUCUAGGGUUUUCAUGCUUACCUCAACAUCUUCAUUUAAAGGUUUACAUGGCAUUCAUAGCAGAUUUUCACAAACAAAGAAAUGACACUUAUAUACUUAUGAACUCACCAGCUUUAAAGCUGAUACUCGCUUUCAAAAUAACUUGUAUUCUCAGGUCGUCAGUAGAGAGGUACGGAGGCCAGGUUUUGAGAAGACGAAGCAGACAACUCUCAUCUUUUAUUUUGAUUGUAUAUUUUUGGUGUCUUACUAUAAUGAAAGAACACACAUGUAUUAAAACUUUACUUAUAAUGCAAUGGAUGAUGUUGUUGCUUGUUUAUUAUAUUACACUGUUGUGAUACUGUACAUGACGUCCUCCACCCCUGAACGUUUCCGCCGUUCGUGGUUUUGGGGUGUGACAAGUUUCACGGAUGAUUUCAGGACCAGUGAGAGCAUUGUCGGGGACUCGACCCUUGGCUAGCUGCAUGUCCCCUACCACGGCCCAGCACACAGACGGGAUCUACACCUGCGAUCGUAGAGGGCUUCGAACGGGGCAGCCUUGAUACUGGUAUGGUAACUGUUGUUAUACGAAAACUCGAUCAAGGGUAAAUGAGUGUCCCACGACUUGCCAAAAUCGAUGACACAUGCUCUCAACAUGUCUUCCAAGGUCUGGAUAGUUCUCUCACUCUGCCCAUCUAUCUGAGCAUGAUAAGUCGUGGUCAUGUCUAGCUUAGUUCCAAGAUCCUUCUGUAGGGACUGCCAAAAUCUCGAGGUAAACCUGCUAUCUCGAUCGGAGAUAAUGGACACAGGCACACUGUGCAGUCGGACUAUCUCUUGAAUGUAGAUUCGCGUGAGUCUUUCCAUUUUGAAUGUUUCUUUGAUCGAUAGGAACUGAGCAGAUUUUGUCAAUCGAUCAAAAAUUACCCAAAUGGUAUCGCACCUACUCGGAGAUUUAGGUAAUUUGUUAAUGAAAUCCAUAGAAAUCAUCUCCCAUUUCCACUCUGGUAUUUCGGGCUGCUGGAGCAGACCUGAGGGCUUCUGAUAUUCGACCUUCACCUUGCCGCUAGUCAGACACUUGCCCAUGAAGGUAGCGAUUUCGGCUUUCAUGUUUGGCCACCAAUAUAGUUUCUUGAGAUCCAGGUACAUCUUAUCUGAACCUGGGUGCACGGAGUAUCUAGUCUUCUGAGCUUUGUUCAUAACUACCUCCCUGAAACCUGAAAACUUUGGGGUCCCAAUUCGAUCCAUGAAAUAAUAGACUCCGUCACCUCUGAUCUCAAGAUUCUUAUCCAUUCCCCUCAAGUCUUCAUUCAACACGUUCUCUGGUUUUAGGGCUUCCAACUGAGCCUCUUGGAUUUGUGCGGAUAAGUGAGAAUGGAUGGUCAUUGUUAGUGUCUCCUCCUUGUUGCCUGAGCUUUCCUUUCGGCUAAGGGCAUCUGCCACCACAUUGGCCUCGCCGGGAUGGUAGCGGAUUUCGCAUUCAUAGUCACUGAGCAGCUCUACCCAUCGUUGUUGUCUCAUACUUAAGUCCUUCUGAUCAAAGAUGUGUUGUAGGAUUUUAUGGUCCGUGAAGAUCGUGCACUUGGUCCCGUAGAGAUAAUGUCUCCAAAUCUUUAGUGCGAAGACCACUGCUCCUAACUCCAGGUCGUGAGUUGUGUAGUUGACUUCGUGUGCUUUCAGUUGUCUUGAGGCAUAAGCAAUAACUUUUCCUCCCUGCAUAAGCACACAGCCUAUACCCUGAUUGGACGCAUCCACUACUAGAAAAAAGGCCUUUUACGAUGCUCAUUGUGCAUCGUAAAACGCUCAGACGACGCGCAAAUGCGUGUCAAGGAAGGCCGUGUCAUAAAGAGAGACGACGCGCUUUUGUGCGUCGUCUAUAGACGACGCGCAUUUACGACGCGCAUUUAUGACGCGCAUUUACGACGCACGGUUAUGACACGCAAUGCGUAUCAAGGAAGGCCCUGUCAUAAAGGAAGACGACACGCAUUUGCGUGUCGUAACCUUAUGACGCGCGUGUUUAUGACACGCAAUGCGUAUCAAGGAAACCCCUGUCAAGAAAGGCCAUGUCAUAAAUGAAGAUGACACACAUUUUUGCGUAUCAUAAUUUUAAAUGUUAAAAAAAAUAUUAUUUAUAGAUUUGCUUAUUUUCAAAUUAAAUUUGUAUUUAAUGUUUAAUAAUAGAUAAUAAAAUAUCAUAUACAAAAAUAGAAUCCAUUGCAUAAAUUUAAUGUCAUACAAAUAAUCGUUCCAUAUGUAAACAAAUAUAUACCAAAAACAUCAUGUCAAAAAAUUGUAAUACAUUUAUAUUAAGGGGAUCUAAUUGUACAUUGUUAUUAAGAGGUUUUCCCUAACUAUAUAACAUAAUACUAAAUUGCUAUUAAGGGACACCUUAUGCAAUGUAAUGCUAUAGAAACUAAAAAGAUAUACACAAAGAUGAUAAACAUCAAAUUCCAACUAAGUAGAGUUGAAUCUUGCCUUUCAUACUUCUUUAAGACUAAUAUUGAACCCCUGCUCCGAUAAUUCUUGUGACCUGAUCAAAUAAAAGUCAAAAAAUUAAUAUGUUAAUACAAUUAUUAGAAGAAUCAAACUUGGAAUGUUAGUUGUAAAAGACGAAAUUACCCUUUUCUCCAUCCAAAGAAUUUGGGAUUUGGAAUAAAUACACUACAAUAUGAAUUACCUAAUAUCAACAAUGACAAACACAAUGACAAGAAUACCCGCAUACAAAUGGUAAAUAUUAUCUGUAAAGCUAUCAACAAUGAUAUUCACAAUGACAAUCUUUGAUCAUAUAAACUAGAGAGUAUAUCAUCACAAUUCCAUCUAACACCACCCAUUAGAACACGUAAAGCUACUCAACCAACAUAUCAUGUCAUGUAAUGUAUUUUUUGUCAGUAUAUCUUCACAUAGAAAACAAAAGUGAAAUAAAUAAAAAUAACAACCUUCUCAUUUACUGAAAAUGGAUAUUGUUCACAUAUAUGGGAGCCAUUUUCAGAAUUACCAUCCCCAUUUACCUGAAAUCAUUCAUGCCAUUUUAACUCAAAUAAUUUAUUUAUAGUAAAAAAAAUAAAUAUUUAUAAUUAUAGUGUUUUGAUUAUAUAAUAUAUACCCAUCUGUCACUGACUCCUCAUUCGUCAUAAGAAUGAACAAAUAUUUUAAUUAAUUACCUUGAAAUGAUAAUAAUAUAAAUACUAUAACACCAUGGCAUGGUAUAUUUGAAUAAUACCUAGUGUAGCAUCCAAGAUAAGACGUUGACUUGUUGCUUGAGCAGAUUUUGCAGUGUAUGCUUUAAGGGCAUCAUCCCACCGUUGCAGCUUUUCAUACCUUGUAUUUGGAAGCAACAUAAACAAUUAAUAUUUUGAGAAAAUAAGACAAUGUAAAUGAUUUCAGGGUCCUGGAAAUAUACCAUGAUUCCUUCAGUUGUAAAUCCAAACAGCAUCCCAUAUAUAGUUAUAUACUUAAGAGAGUGAAAAAAGGAAAGUGAGCUAGUUUCUAUAUAUGCUUACCCUCCAAAAAGAUAGAAGUGAAAGUAUCCAAAAGAAAGCACUUAUCCACCUUGAUUCCUUAUAUGCAAUCCACACCUGAUCAAAAGAAGCAAUCAAACAUUAUUGUUAUAACAAAAGUCGAAAAAUCUCCUUUUCACUAUAGUUGGAAAGUAUAUAAUAAACAAAGACUUACUGCUACAAUGACAAUACAAAAAUAGAAAUCGGUUGUUGUUGCUAUCAUGCACCUGUGAGCAUUUACAACUAUGUAUGAGCAUUUACUAUUACACUUUUUUACAUAAAUUAAAUAAAAGGGAAAUUUUAAAUGGUACCUUGAUAAUACAUUGGCAUUGAAUGUAGAUCCAUCAACGAUAAGCACAUAAAUAAAAGUUCCCAGCAUCAAGUAGCCUAGUGCAGAAAUGAUUAUUUUUGCAAUUAAAACAAAAUGUCCCCUUUUGUAUCCCAUGGCAUCCCUAUAUAAGCCAAAUAUAUAAUAAAAUUACAAGCAUUUUAGCAAACAUUUUUACUUGAUUUUAGUUUUUGUUAUCGUUAUUGGACAUGUCCCUCAAAAGAUAUAAUGGAUCCUUUGAUGAUUCUUCUGGUGACAACUUAAAGAACUGCAGAGCCACGUAUCAUUUGUAAUAGGGCUGUAGAAGGAAUGAAAACUUACUUAAAACAUGUUACACUUGUAAUUAAUAGUAAUAGUAAUAAUAAUAAUAAUAAAGUUUAAUUACCUUCCUGCAAAAAGUACAACAGGUAUCAAUACAGCUGCCUUGAUCCAGCAUGAUUCCUUGUAGACUAUCCAAGCCUAAGAUUGCAGGUAUAUACAAAACCACAUAUAACUCCAUUUGAUUCAACAAGCUUGUAACACCAUGGUCAAGAUCAGUUCCAAAAUCCCCAGUAAACACGCCACCUGAAUAGAACUGGAAACCCAUGCCACUGGCAUCAAUGGCAACUAAUACGGGUUGAUUAGCGACUGCCUGUAACAAUGCGGAUUCACUGUUGGCUGGCACUUUUUCAUACCCAGUAAUGGUGGCAGCAUGGACAGCUUCUUCCUUGGUGUUGCAGGUUCCAUCUGUUGCCUGAUAUGGGUAAGCCACCUCGGUGUUGAUGCCUUUGUUUUUAACGAUAAACUCAAAGCCAUCUUCCAUCUCGCCACCAUCACAUCCUCCGUUUUGUUUUUGGGGGGUUUUGAUUGGUGUUUGUUCCUUUAGGGUUCCGUUUUCAGAAUGGUUUCCUGUAAUCAAAGAUUUUGAUAUUAGUAUGGAAUUGAGUUCCAAAUAUUCAAAUUGCAGUAAAAGAAAUGAUCUUACUGUUACCGUUUUCCGUAGAGCGACCAUUUAAAGGAGGGGAAGAAGCAAACCCAGUGUAAUCACCUGAAUUCAAAUAAAAAAAAUGAGAUAAAAAAUGAUUAUUUUUAUUUUUAAGGUAGCAGCAGAAAAUUAGUUUACCGUUUGUUUGUGCUGGAGAAGAUGCGUUUUUUAAUUUUUCAGCAGAUGAUUUGCCAGGCCAUUGUUUAAGAGGGCGAAUAACCAGAGCUCUUGGAUUCUCCCUUGGAAUAAAAAGAGCAUCUGCUUUUGGUGUGCUGGUAGUCUCUUCAUCAUCACUAAAAAAUGAAACCUGUAAUUGUAAAAAAAAUAAAUCAGAUCCAUAAAAAACAAUAAGGGCAAAAUAGUCAAUAUAACAACCGAUAUUACCGUUGGCCCAUCGUUUUUCGGGUGAUACUUUCUAGCACCCCACGAAUGUUUUACCAACCAGUACUUCAUGCCAAAGCUGUGUAUAUGAUGUAUUCACCAUCACCACAGACAACAACAUACCUCCUAUUUGGGUUGUGCUUCAAGCUCUGUGGAAAAAUAGAAAAGUCAAAGUCCAUAUGGUUGACUAUUUUCAGUUUAAAGGAAGGUAGGAACAAGCAUAACUCACUUGUGGAUAAAGAUCACAUGUUCCCAGUUCUUUAACUGCUAAAGGCAGCCUCUCUCCAUCAGAAACCUGAACAAAAAUUAGAUUUUUUUUCCCAUUUCAUUGUUAACAUAACAUAACAUGUAUAUGGGCUUUAAAGUCCAAACCUCAUGAUCAACUCCCACACUCUUGAUGUUAAUAGUUUGAAUUUCAUUAUGUUUAGCCCAUAUAAUUUUUCCACUAUAGUCCAUGCUGGCUACAAGCUCUUCACGUCCAAUUUUCACCAUUAUGGUUCCUUCAUCAUAGCCAAUAAAAAUUCUGUAAAAACAGUAAUUAAAAUAAAUCUAGAUGAAUGAAGAAGCAUCAAGAUUCAAGACCCACAAAACAAAAAACAAAAAGUGCUAUACAAAGUUACCGACGUGAACCUUUCAUGUAUCCAAUAGCCCAAACCCUUUCAAGUCAAUAGUUCAAGGUGUUCUCAAGUCUGAAUAAAAAAAAGAGUGGCAUAAAGUCAAAAAGUUUACAUUUUUAACAUAUGUAUAACGAGGGUAUUUUGGUCUUUUGAUAGGAAAUGAAGAAAGAAAUUGAAUUCCUUCCAUCCAUCAAACAUGGAAUUUGAAGGAAUCCAAAAAAAAUUGAAUUCCAUCCAUUUGGAAAUGAAACACACCAUGGAAUGGAAUCUAGCAUUCUGAUUCUUUUAGAAUCUACAAAACAAACACACCCUUAAAGGUAAAAAAACAAGAGCUCACCUUUAAGUGGUUGAAUGCCAUUAAACGACAAGACCAACUUCUGAACCCUGUCAUAAUUAUUGGAAGCUCGGGAUGGAAACAUACAGCAGAAACAUUGUGUGUGUGACCUUCUAGAGUUUGGACACAGGUUUUAGUUAGCAACUCUACAGUAACAGAUCACAGUUGUGACCGUAUUGCUGGAUUCUCAUAUUGAGAUAGUAAAGGGAAUCAAAUCAGUUUAGAAAUUGUAAGUAAAUGAGAUUCAAUUCCUAUUACAUAAAUUAAAUUCCAACUCCUAAACACUAAAUUGAUUUUUUUAUCAUUAUCAAAACACAAUUGGCUGAUUACUACUCAUGUGUAUGUAUAAUAAUAGUAAAUUGAAUCUAAUAGGAAUACAUAAAUUUUUAUUUACCUGUGAGGUUGUCACUGUGGCAGGUUGCUUUGAACCUUGUUCAUUAAUCUUUGGACAAUCCCCUUUUGGUUCAAACAUUUAGUCAAACACCUAGUGUGCAUAAAAAAAUCAGGUACUUAUAUCAUAAAAUAUUAACAAUUCCAUGAAAAUAUAUGAGAGAGGGUAAAAAGGCACAAAAAAUCGUCCAAAAAGAAGGACCAGUAGGACAUGAAACAGGUAACUAUGGUUGAAAAAGGAAGAAUUACCUUUGAAAUAGGCCUACUACGCAGAUGAAAUAGGCAACAGUGGUGGUAUAGUGGUGGUUCUGGGCUGUUGCGAAGGCAGUGUGGUGGUGGCUCAGGGCUGGUGUUGUGGUGCGAUGUUGUAACGGUGGAGUCUGAAAGCAAACACAAAUUGUGAUGGAAGCUAUUGUUGUUGGUGAUGUCCGAUUCAUCAAAAGAAAAUCAUUCUUCGAUCAAUCUUCUAUUUUGUGAAAGAAGAUAUUACUAUUUCAAAUGUGUUAUGUUUGAUUAGGGUUUGGACAUAGAAGGAAGUCAAAGUCGAUCGGAGAGGAAGGGGUUUGCAGAGAGAAAGAAGGGAGAGAAUGAAGUCGAUUUUGGCGGGUGUAGAGAGUAGAGAGGAAGAGGAAGCGGGUGUUCAAAAUUUUGGGGGAUUUAGUUUCCCCCCUUACCUAUCAAGGAGUCCCAGAAACGCGCGUUUAUUAAAAUUAUAAAGCGACAUUUGUAGAGGACGCCCGUUUUAUUAUAGGUGCCCUCCGUGUUUUUAAUAUUUUUACAUGAGACACUAAUUUAAGCGCACUCAGUAAUGCGCGACCUAAAUCCUUAAAAUUUUUGAAGAGGUGACACUUUUUUAAUGUCGCUCUCUAAUGCGUAACAUAAAUCAAAGAGCUUCGUGUUUUGCGCGUCGUAAAAGGCCUUUUUUCUAGUAGUGAUCGCAGUAGACAACGAAAUCAUCCGUCCCUUCGGGCAGGGACAUGAUAGGUGCGCUACACAAGGCUCGCUUCAACGUUUGGAAUGCAGCGUCUUGUUUUUCACUCCAACAAAAGGGUACACCUUUCUGUGUCAGAGUAGUUAAGGGUUUGGCAAUUCUAAAAAAAUUAUGGAUGAAUCUACGAUAAUAGCCGGCAAGGCCCAAGAAUUGACGGAUUUUUGUGGGUGUCUUCGGUGCCGACCAAUUCUCUAUCGCCUUGAUUUUGGAAGGGUCCACAUGUACACCAUCCUCACUUACCACGUGACCUAGGAAAGUUACCUUCCGAAUCCAGAAUUUGCACUUGGAGAAUUUUGCGUACAGCUUCUCUGAUCUAAGUGUUUCCAACACUAACCUCAAGUGUUGUUUGUGAUCUUCCUUGCUUCUGGAAUAGAAAAGUAUAUCAUCAAUGAACACAAUAACGAACUUGUCAAGAAAAGGAUGACACACCCGGUUCAUCAGGUCCAUGAACACCGUCAGUGCGAUGGUUAGACCGAAAGGCAUCACUAAGAACUCGUAGUGACCGUAGCGAGUCCUGAAUGUUGUCUUGGAGACAUCGCUCUCAUGAACUCGUAGUUGAUGGUACCCUGAGGUCUAUUUUCAAGAAGUAACUGGCUCCUUAAAGUUGGUCGCAAAGGUCGUCUAUUCGAGGAAGAGGAUAACGGUUUUUGACGGUCAGCUUGUUCAAUUCGCGGUAGUCUAUACACAUCCGAAAGGAUCCAUCUUUCUUCUUCACAAAUUACACUGGGGCUCCCCAGGGUGAGGAACUCGGUCUAAUGAACCCUUUGCUAAGUAGGUCAUUAAGCUGACUGGAUAACUCCUGCAUUUCUGCUGGUGCUAAAUGGUAUGGAGACUUGGCUACGGGGGUAGCUCCGGGGAUUAGGUCGUUGCGAAACUCAACUUGGUGUUCGGGAGGGAUUCCCAGGAACUCUUCGGGAAAGACAUCAGGAAAGUUGCAGACUUCGGGGAUGCUCUCGAGGUCUUUAACUUCUUGUUUCUCAUUUAUCAUAUGGGCUAGGAAUGCAUGGCACUCCUUUCGCAGAAGCUUUUGGGCUUUGAUGCAUGAAAUGAUGUGAAGGUUGGAAGUAAGUUUAUCACCGUAGAUCAUGAGGGUCUGGCCAGAGGGAAGACUGAGACGGAUAGAUUUUUUGUAACAAAGGAUAUCAGCAUGAUUGGGGCUCAACCAAUCUAUGCCAAUGAUAACAUCAAAGCUUUUUAUAGAGACUGGCAUAAGGUCGAUGGGGAAAGAAUGGUCAUUGAGGGUAAGGGUGUAGCCUAUGAAUAUAUCGUUAGCGUUCUCUUUCUCACCGUUAGCCAUGUUGACGGUAAAUGUUUCAUUUAGCGGUUAAGGAUUAUGUUUAAGAAGAUGCUUGCAUGAAUGGCUAACAAAACUUCUUUCCGUACCUGAAUCAAAAAGGAUGCAUGCAUUUGAGUUGUCAAGAAGGAACAUACCCGUGACAACGGUGGGAACGGCGACAGCCUCCUCUUGCCCCAUUGUUAGAACUCUCCCAGUGAUGUUAGUCGUUGUUGCUUUGGGGCUGUUUCUCUUGUAAUGCCCGACCUCACCACAACCAUAACAAGCUUGACCGACACCUGCUCCGGAAGCUUGAUUGGUUGGUUGGGCUGGUGUUCUGCGUUUUUGAGCAGUGUGGCCCUUUUUGCCACAGUUGUUGCAGAGCAUCUCACUACAUGGGUUAGAAGUGAGAUAAUGGUAGUUGCACUUGUCGUACCGAGGAAAGGUACCAGCAUAUCUACAGGCAGGUGCUUGAGUGGCAGGAGUAGCGAUAGGAGUAGUAGCAGCGUGGACUGCCACAGUUUGCUGUUUCUUUGAGGGUUCCUGCGAAGACUGACCUUUCUUCUGUUUCCAGAAUUUUCUUUUCUCACCACUCCCUUUAGCCGGUUCAGGAAUGGUGGUCACUUCAUCGAGAUCGAUUCCAUGAUCGAUCAGAGUCUGCACCACGCACUUAGCACUGUCGAAGGUGUUUGGCCUAGCAGCCAAGACAUUUCCUUUUGUUGGCUGGGUCAGCCCCCAAAUGAAUCUUUCAAUCUUUUUGCUUUCCGGGGUGACCAUUACCGGACAAAGGAGUGCUAAGUCUUCAAACCUAGAAGUGUAGGAAGCGAUAUCGGAACCCCUCAUCUUUAGGUUCCAGAGUUCGUGUUCCAGUUUCUGCAUUUCUCCCUGCGGGUAGUACUCGGCAAGUAUGAGCUCCUUCAAGCUCUCCCAACCCAUAGCAUUUGCUACUGGAUGGGUUAAGGAUUUGGCUCGCCCAUUCCACCAAGUCAAUGCUUUGUCGGUGAAAGUGCAGGCGGCGAACUUCACCUUGUUAGCUUCCGAACAGGAACAAAUUUCGAAGAUAGAAUCGAUCUUCUCGAACUAACGAGUUAGGGCAAUAACACCUCCAGUGCCAUUGAAAGACAUGGGUUUCACAUUCAUGAAGUCUUUAUAGGAACACUCCUUCUGGUGCCCCUGACCACCUUCCUAGUUUUGGGGAUGAGUACCACCUCCUGGCCUGCCAGAGACGCCGGGGUUCAUCUGUGACAUUGCAGCUGCCACUGCGGCAUUAACAGCUGCUUGAAACAUGACAGGAUCGAAUUGAGGAGGAGGUGGUGGCAGAGGAUUGUUGUUCUUUGACCUGGGUCUUUUCCUUGGAGGCAUCUUUAUCUAAAAUGAUCAGGAAAGAGAGGAUGGUAAGUCCUCUGGAUUGAAUCAACAGAUAUGAAGCAAGAGAUAUCUCAUUAUGGCAAAUAGAGUGUUCUACUAUGCGAUACUAUAUAGGAAAACUACCAAUGCAAGAGAAUUACCGCUAAAGGGAAUGAAUAGCAACACUUGGAUGUGGACCUUUACAACAAAUUUGACUUUGGAAAAUACUGCUAUAGUAUUUUACGUUUUGUUGCGACGAUGAUUUGUUGUUUGGAUAUUUGGUAAGUUUUAGGCUUGAUGUACACCACAGUCACUCCCAACCACAUGUUGGCCGUGUCUCGAAUGAAUAUAGUUGAUCAUGCUAUAUUGACCCUAAACAUGACUACAUAACUGUCAAGGUUUAACAGCAGCGCCCAACACACAAUUACUUUUGUUUUGUUCUACUCAUGGUUACUAUUUCUAACAUUUAGGUAUUCUUGUAUACUUUUUGUAAAAUACUUGUAUUUUAAAGUAUACUUUUAGUUCACGCUUCAGCCCCUUAGUGUUUAUAGUUAUAUACCAUGUAAGGUUCGGUAUACUUAGUUCACUAUAAACAAAAGCUCUGAUAUCAAUCUGUCACACCCCCGAACCGUCAGCAAAACAACGGCGGAAACGUCCGGGGCGAGGACGUCAUGUAAAGUAUCACAACCAUUGUACAUAGUAAGAAUAGUAAAAACAACCAUUACAUUACAUAAGAAUAUUUACAUUUGUUUGAAAGUAAAUUAACAUAUAUUAAGUACAUCAGUUUAUGCAAAAAGUAAAGACGAGACUUCUAUAUGCUCCGUCUUCUCCAAAAGUAAGCGAGGUACCUGUCUAACGUGGACCUGAGAAUACAAGCAGUUUUAGAAAUAUCAGCAUAAAGCUGGUGAGUUCAUAAGCGGUUGAUUUCUGAUGAAAGAAAAUGUUCCUUUGAUUUUAUGAAAAGUUGUUUCCCAAGAAAAUCCCAUAUUUUCUUAUAAAAGAAGUUUGGUUAUCCAUUUGUUAAACAACCUGUUAAUGAAAAGUUAAGUUAUCGCAGGAAAAACCUAUAUUUUUCUUAAAAGUUAAUUGUUGGUUAUCGAUCCGGAAUGAAGUGUACAAGUAUCUACCAUACUUGCAUCGUUAGGUGAAGUUUCCACGAAAACUCGGUUACUCUCGAUGAGAUACAUUAGUUUUAAUACACACAUAAAACUAAUAAGUAGGUAGUGAACUAAUUCCUAAAGGUAUUACUGAUACCCUUUAGUAAUCAAAACAGUUAUUACUUUGAGGUUAGUUCACUAGAUUCAUUAUUACUAAAAUUAAAUCCCCAUUAUCUAAGUUGCGAGUUCCAUAACCAUACAAUAAACUGGAUAUGGCACGUAACGAGGCCAGUAUCAUUUUAUGACUUUCUCACCCGUAGACCUGUCGGUCCCACUAUAGCUAGCACCAAGGUGCGGGCUAUUCAGUCCCAUAUAGAUCUAUACACAGUAGUCACGUUCUCCCUCCAAGAGAUUCUGGUUACAGGGUUAGUCUUACACUCGCGUAUUCCGGUGGAGUGUUACCAAGGACGUGUCUCCAAUCUUAAGAAUAAUGAGUUUACAAGUAAUAAUAUGGAAAAUCCUGUUUUAUGAAUGGCAUGAAUCCUUUGUAAAAUAUAAAAUAUAACAUUUUAUGAUGACAUUCACAAGUUUCCUUAUUUUAGAUUUGAAAAAUAACUCUACAAGUUAAUUUCUUAAUCGGUUGGUAAAACGGUUUUCUGUGUUAAAAGCAUACUAAACAUGUAAGUAUUUCAUACGAAAUAAUAGGUAUGUAGUACAAAUUCCCUUGUACUUUUGCUUGUAUUCCCCCCUGAAAACAUGAAAAACUCAGAAAAGUAUAGGGUAUGAACUCACCUGACGAGGGUGAUUCGAAUUAACGGACGGUAUAGGAUGCUAGGUGUCACUUGAGGACUUGAACAUAUGUGAGGAUCCUAUGUAACAUGAAGUGAUACAUAUUUGUGUCUAAUUAGUCAUUAAAUAACUAAUUAAGCAAGUAAAUACAUUCUAAUGCAUGAAAACACUUUAUUUCAAGUGUUAGGGGUGAUACGGGUUGCAUCUAAGGAAUGUAUGGCCUCAUUAUGGAGUUUACUCUCCAAAUGGAAGCUCUUAGGGGUGUUUAUGGUUUCAAGACCAUAUCCCCCAUGAGUUUACGGCUGUAAACUCAUGGCUAUGGUGUGUUUGUGUGCUUCAAGGUCUUAUGCUUCACAAAGAAGGGUCCUAGGGUUGAUUCAAAGGCUUAAGAAGUGAUUGGGGCUCCAAAGGACCCUCCUUGGGGUGUUUAUGGUUUUUGAAUGCUUCCUUGGUGAUUUUACGGUCGUAAACACAUGAGUUUACGGCCGUAAACUCAUGUUUUCCACUUUCUUGCAUGAUUUGGUGCUUCUAGGGUAAGCAUACAAAGUUCUAGUCACUUAUACAAGUCAUGGAAGGUGUUAAGGGAAUUUUAACACUCUUAGAAGUUGUUUACGGUUUUGAGAUAUGCCCCAACCGUAAACUCAGUUUUACUCCUCUCAUUCCAUGCUUUGGGGUUCUAAGAUCAUUCACGCAAGUUUCUAGGUCAUUAGCCAAGCAUUGGAAGGGUUUUGGGGCAUCAAAACCCCCUUUUAGGGUGUUUACGGUUUUGGGAUGUUCCCAAACCGUAAACUCUUGAUCUUGGGGUUCUUGGGUGAUUAAUCCACGAAUUUACAAGUAUACUGAGAAAAACAAUAAGCUAGGAGGGUUUACUUACUGUUGUGAAGCUUGAAGGGGCGUUUUUCGAUCGAACCCGAUUUAUAGAGAGAGAGUAGAGAGAGAAAGUUCCUAGAUUGUGAAAAAGGUUGGAAUGAAGUCCACUCAACCAUUAUAUAGGGUUGAGUUUACGGCCAGGGUGGGAUCCACCCAAUACCGACAUCAAACGGAGUUUAUGGUCGUACCCGAUUUAAUGGCCGUAACCUGACUUGGUCGUGAACUUGAAACUUUCUGAAGGAAAUCGAGGGUAUUUCGUGUUAUUGUAUUGCUUUAUUGAUUUGCUUAGCUGAAAAGUUUAAUAGAAAACUUCAAUAAAAAUUAAUUUUAUUAACGGAAGUGGGUUAUAGUGACAGAAUAAAUUUUGGGUUGUCACACUAUACUCCACAGCAAAACGAUGUAGUUGGAAUACGCAACCGAUCCUUUUUUGAAGUAGCCCGAAGCAUGCUCGCUUUUGCAUACCUCUGUAUUUCUGGGCUGACGCUAUCGCCAUUGCUUGCUACACACAGAACCGAUCCUUCCUUAAUAAGCGAUUUUCUAUCAAUCCUUAUGAAAUUCUUAAUAAUCGCAAACCUAAUGCCAAGUUUUUCCAUGUCUUUAGUUCCAGGUGUUUCAUUUUUAAUUCCAAAGAAAACCGAAACAAGUUCGAUGUGAAAGCAGAAGAAGGUAUCUUUUUGGGUUAUUCACUGACCUCCAAGGCAUAUAGGGUUCUCAACAAACUACUAAAGAAAAUAGAAGAAACCUAUUAUGUCACGUUUAACGAUCAUUACGUGAAGAAACUUCAAUCAAGCAGAAAUUCCUUGGAAGAGAUCUUUCCUAAAACAGGUCAAGUCACAGUUCCUAUAUACAAUCUGUUUGAAUAAUACAUGCUGCUCUUUAUUGAAACUGAAAAGGCCAACAACUCUAAAGCAAAGGCAAUCGACAAUAAAGUUGAUGAACUGAAGAAGAUUAGCAAUGAUGCUGAAAGGGAAAUGGUAACCGAAUCUCCAACAUCAACCGGAUCUCCAACAUCAACCGAAUCUCCAGCAUCAACCGAAUCUCCAACAUCAACCAAAUUUCCAACACCACCCGAAUCUCAUGCUUCAAGCAAACCUCCAAAAUUCAACACACCAUUACAGGGGGAGGGUUCGUCUUCAUCAAGUAAACAUGAUUCACCUUUCAAGGGGGAGAACCGAACACCACCAAUGACCCAUGGAAUUCCACUUAAGGGGGAACAUUCUGAACCUGAUGUUGAAACUGUUUCAUCAUUCGAGGGGGAGAAUCAUAAUAUGAAUGAUGAUUCGGAUAUUCAGAAUGAUGACUUGGAUAUUCAAUCAGAAUUUGAAGAGGAAGUGAAUGCCGAACCGGAUCCUGCCUACGAUCCAAACUACCGUCCACUCACUAAAUAGACAAGAGAUCAUCCGAAAAUACAAGUGAUUGGUAAUCAUCCUAGGGAGUCCUUACAUGCUCUCAAAUUAAAGGGAAGCAAACUGAUUUAUUCUCUCAAGUGGAAUAUUGCAUGUUUAAUUUGUUCAUCACCAAAAUAGACCCGGAAAUUGUCAACACUGCACUCGAUCAUUCUGAUUGGGUGCAGGCAAUGCAAGACGAACUCAAUGAGUUUAAGAGAAAUCAGGUCUGGAGAUUGAUUCCUACACCAAAGGAUGCAUUUUUGGUUGGUUUAAAGUGGGUAAUUUGUAACUAGAUGGAUCAAGAAGACAACCUCAUAUGGAAAAAUCAAGGUUGGUUGGUAAGGAAUACUGUCAGGAAGAAGGUACUGAUUAUGAAGAAACCUUUGCUCCAGUAGCAGGAUUAGAAUCGAUGCGGAUCUUUCUGGCAUAUUCAACACAUAAGAAUUUUGAGGUUUAUCAAAUGGAUGUUAAGAGUGCUUUCCUGAAUGGGGAGUUGGAAGAAACCGUGUAUGUUGAACAACCACCAGGUUCGGUUGCUACAUUCUGGACAAGGCUAUGUAUUGUCUAAAGCAAGCACCUAGAGCUUGGUAUGAAACAUUAACUCGCUUUCUAAAAUUGUCUAAAUUUAAACAAGGCUCGGUUGACCCAACCUUCUUAAAGAAGGUGACACUUGAUGAUAGUCCAAAUUUAUGUUGAUGACAUCAAUUUCGAUUCCACGAAUCUCAGUAUAAUAGAUGAUUUCCGAAAGUUGAUGGAGACUACAUUUGAGAUGAGCUCAAUGGGUCCAAUUAACGUUUUCCUUGGCUUGAACAUUAGGCAAGGACCAGAAGGUAUAAUUUUCAAUCAGGAAGCUUACAGAAAGACCUUGCUCGUGAAAUUUGGCAUGACGUGAGAUCCUAGAGUAAAAGUGUCUAUGGCCUUUGGAACGAAAUUAACACCAUCCAUCGAUAGAUCAGCUGCUGAUAUGACUCUCUAUUGACAAAUGAUAGGAUCAUUGAUGUAUCUUACAGCUCGUAGACCAGAUUUCAUGUUUUAUGUGUGUUAUUGUGCUAGAUUUCAAGCUAAUCCACGAGAACCUCACAUGGUGGUAGUCAAGAACAUCCUUCGGUACCUGAAGCGAACCUCGUCUCUCGGUAUAUGGUAUCCCACGAAAUCAGGAUUCUUUGUUCAUGCAUUCUCAGAUGCAGAUCUUGGAGGAUGUGGUAUAGACCGAAAGAGCACAACUAGUGGGUGUCAAUUUCUAGAUGGAAAACUCGUAAGCUGGAAGUCCAAGAAACAACCAUGUGUAUCUUUAUCCACAGCCGAAGCAGAGUAUAUAGCAACUGCAUCUUGUCCUUCUCAGGUCAUCUGGAUUCAAAGUCAAUUAAGACACUAUGGCCUAAACAUGAAGCGAAUUCCCCUAUAUUUUGACUCUGAAAGUGCAAUCCAAAUAUUUCACAAUCCAGUGUAACACUCAAAGAUGAAACACAUAGCACUAAGGUACCACUUUAUCAAAAAAUCAUGUGGAAGAUAGUAACAUCGAAAUUCAUUUCGUACGAUCUGUAGAUCAAUUAGCUGACAUAUUCACAAAAGCAUUUCCUGAAACAACUUUAAUAGAAUACUUCAAGUCUUGGGAAUGAUGGAAGCUGAAUCUAUACCGAAACUAUCUUUUCUUCGAUGAGUAUAACUUUUGCCUUCGCCUCCUUAACAUUUCAACAAGCGAAAUAGAGCGAACGCUCGGUAUAUUUCACUUCAUCUUUCAAAAGGAGAACGUUCAAUUGAAACUUAAUGUAUAAUUUGUGUACAAAAAUAUUUUUCUGUGACAACCCGAUAUUUUAACUCUUUGUAACGACCAAAAUGGGUCAAGUAUUGUAACCACUUCUGAAUAAUAAAAGUUUACUUUCAUAAUAAAAUGUACAAAUAAGUUCUAUUUAAUUUCCUUCUAUGAUUAAAUGUCUUUGAACCAUGAUCGUACGUGAAAAGAACGCCCAAAUCCGACUUCAUAUAGCGAAGUUAUGAUUUUUCCAAGUUCGGCUUAGCAACAGACAGCUAAAAACUCGAAUCGGAGAUCGAGCGACUUUUGGCCGGAAUGACCUAAACGAGAAUCGAGGGUCUCGACAAUGGUAUUCCAGCGGUAAAAAGUCUGGCAAAAACCGACAUCAGAUAAAAAAGUUAUGAAUUUUCAAAGAAAUUCCUUAAACACGAUGGGUUUUUAAUAAAUAAUAAAAAAAUAAUUUCGAAAUUUGCCGACGGAGUCUAAACGAAAGUUGUAGAGCGUAGUCUCACCUACGCGAGGAUAUAAAGACCAUCGAAAACGGAGUUCGUAUGAAGAAGAUAUGAAUUUUUGAAGUUUAUUAAAUAAAUUAAUUAUUUAUUUUAUUCAAAAUUCGGAUAUUAUCCGAAGGGGAGUCAGCGUCCUCAUCCGAGGUACGCGCUGCGUACCCCUGUACGCCCCGCGUAACCGAGAGGAUUGGCCUCUGAUCGUCCACGUCGCGCUAUCCGAAGAAACCGACCCGUCCGACCCGUCCGAAGCCCCGACCCGUCCGACCCGCCGUCCCAUCCGACCCGCGUACCCAGCAACCCGUCCCAUCCGAACCGAGGCAGUCGAGGCUUCGGUCAUGCAUGACGUACGCGUACGCGCUGCGUACGAGCGUACGCCCCGCGUACCGAGGCAGACCAGCCUUACUAUAAAUAGGAUGCGAGGGUUUCCAAAGAAAGGGUUCAUUUCUCUUCUCUCUCUCUCAACUUUGCCUCGUUUUCCGUGUCCGUUCAAACCCGAAGCUCUGGUCUUUUUGGCUCAAGUCCCGAAGGUCGAUUUUACUCCCGAGAUUCCCGAGAAUCCCGAGGAAAAUCCGUUUCCCGAGACGAAACUCUGCCCGGUUUUCCAUCUCGCUAUCUCCAAAACUUUCAAGUGAGUUUCAUACCCCUUAAUCAACCGUUUUAAUUAUUCUAAAUACUUUUAUAUGCUUUCAAGGGGGGGAUUACAAGUAAAACACACGAGUAUUAUCGUGUGUUACAUAAAGAAACUCUUUUAUAUACUGUUAUAUAUUCAAAUCACAUGCGAUUUAUAAACCUUUAAGGAACUUUUAUAUAUAUAUAACAUAUGUUACAAUAGCAUUCUAUCUUUUAAAAUAUAAAGUUGUUGUAAUGCAUGUAUAAACUAAACUGUUCUUAGAUUAUUCUUGUCUAUCUUAGACUCUACACCAAAAAUCUAUGCUUUCAUAAACAAGUGAUUCUUUUUCUAGGUAUUUCUAAACAAACAAGACACACUUUUUGAAAACUAUAAUAGGUAUAGUUUUACGAACAGAUUUCUAACUCUUAUGUACUAGAAACAUAUAUUUCAAGAAGUUUACUUUCGUAUACAAGAACAAACGUAACAUUUUAACAAGUAGAUCUGUUUUUAUACCACGGUUUUGUGAGACACUAACUUCAUGUACGUUCGAGUACACAUUUCAAGUCCUGUAUUAUAUACCAGAAUCCCUUGGAGGGGGAGCAUGGUGUUUGUGUAUAGAUCUAUACGGGCUUGACAACCCGCGCCCUGACUGUUAGCUGCAGUCCACCGUUUGGGGUGACAAACGUCAUAACAUUCCAACGCCUGAAGAACGUUGUGUAUAGGCAUUCAGAGUCAAUAGUAUGGUUAUAAAACUCACAAGGGGUAUUAAAAAUGCAUUGAUUUACAAGGUUUUCAAACUCAUUGGUUAUUUUACAUUUACAUACAUUUUGGAAACAAACAUUGGUCUUGAGUGAAGGCUACUUUUAUACUAGUAGAAAAUAUAGGAUUUUCUAAACACAAACAAACAAAGAUAAAACAUUUCAUUUCAUUCAAACAUUGUCACUUAAAUACUUAUGAAAUUCACCAGCUUAAAUGCUGAUCUACUCUUUCAAAAUUACUUGUAUGUCCCAGGAAAUCAGUAAUUUCAGGUAUUCAUUUUGCUUUUGAUGAAGGGAUGCUGCGGCGCCAGUUUAAUCUCAUAUUUUGACAUCAUAUUGUAAUUGGUUUUGAACAUGUAACUUUUGACAAAUGUAAACUUUCAAUUAUAUAUAUGAUGGUUGUAUUGCUUUCUUUACUAUGUAUUCAUUUGUUACGUUACCACAUGAAGUCAUCCGCCCCCGAACGUUUCCGCCGUUCAGGUUUGGGGGUGUGACAGAUUGGUAUCAGAGCAAUGUUUAUAGUGAACUAAGUAUAUCGAACCACAUAAGAUAUACAAACUAUAAAUGCUUAAGGGACUAAUACUCUCUGACAAAACAAAUUUUCUUUUUACACUUAAACAACAUUUCGUUCAACUUAAAUUGAUAGUUCAUUUAAGUACAAUUACAUGCAUACCACAAACUAUUUUCAUGUUAUACAACUAUACAAGUAUUUAGACAAGUUGACACUACGAUUGAGACUCGAUAUAUGUAAUCAGAUUUUGGACAAAUAUAGCGUGAUCAACUAUAUUUGCCCAAGAUUGGACCAACGUAUAUCGAGGAAUGAUCGUAGUAAGCAACAAGUCAAAACUUACCAAACCAUUACAAGAAUCAAACACAAGAACUUAAAUACUAUAGGAGUAUUUGCUAUCUAAACUAGUUUAACUUACAUGUUUUACAUGUUCCGACUUUAUUCAAUUCUUAUAACCCUAUUUCUCGUACAGUCAAAUGGCUGGAUUUCACCACCCUGGCGACCCCUACUUUCCCAACCAAGGCAACGGAGGAUGGAUCGAAGAUGAUCCCGAAGAGGACGAGGAACCCAUAGAAGUGGGUGAUGACUCCGGUACCGACUCAGAGCCGGAAGUUAUCGAUCCACCACCCAUUCAACCUCCCGUCUUCGUAAGGAACUUUCAAGGACCGACUCCCGUCUGGGGAAGUCACCUCCACCAUUGGAGCCAACAGCAAAACCUACGCCCUCCCUACGGCAUGUGCCGGGACUUCUAUGAUGUCCGCGGCGGAGGUUCGGCUGAUCGAGCACUCCCGGUAAUGGUGGGUAAGUUAGCCAAUCAGUCCUAUCAGUCUGGAGUACAAGCUAGUCGACUCCGGGAUAUCAACGUGGAAGUGCAGGUUCACACUUCUGACAUCCGUAGGCUGGACAAGAUGCAAGACAACGCCCAAUUCCAAGCCGAAGCGUUUCAAGCGCAAAUGAUUGCAGCCCUCGCCGAACUAAGGGAACAACAAGCCGCUUUCGAUAGGCGUCUAAUGGAGUCAAAGCAAUCAGAUACGGAGUCAAGCUCCAAGCGCAACCUUCGACGCAAGUAGUGCUUGUCAAGGACUCAAAUUUUGUUAUAGCUUAGGACCUCGGCUAAAAGUCUUUAAAUUUCUCGAACUUUGUAAUCGGAGACCCUUAUAGGGGUCAAAUUUUCAUGAUCGUUGUAACAACUUUUAUAUUAAUAUAAGUGGCACUAUUACUACUAUGUUAAGUAUUUCGUUCGAACCUUGAAUGGUCUUUGUGAACCCAAAUACUUGUUUCAUACCUUCAGUCUUACAAAUAACUUUCAUUCUUCUAUUUUAAGACUCAUACUAUCAUCUGUUGUUGAACUAUAGCGAUUUAGUUCAUGAGACACAUACAUUUUCCAUUCUAUGAAAUUCUUAUCCUUGUCUUUUCAAUCUAUAGUUGAAGGAUGCCUCCGCGUAGGAAUCCAAGGCGAAACAACGGUGAGGAAGCACCUAUACCACCACCACCUCCACCACCCCAAUUUGAUGCUGUAAUGUUUCAAGCAGCAGUCACCGCAGCGGUGGCAGCUGCCAUGUCACAGAUCAAUAACUCAAGUGCUAAUGGCUCGGGAUCUGGCACACACCCAUCCAACCAUGGCGAGAGUCAUGGACCACCUCGAGAAUGCACCUAUAAGGACUUCACUAAUGCCAAGCCCCGGAUGUUUUAUGGUACUGGUGGUGUGAUGGCCCUGAGGCAGUGGAUUGAAAGGACGGAGGCAGUCUUUGAAAUCUGCUCCUGCCCCGAGCACAGCAAGGUCAAAUUUGCAACUUUCACCCUUCUCGAUAAAGCUUUAACUUGGUGGAAUGGCCACGUUAAAGUACUUACCCUAAUCGUGGCAAACUCCAUAAGCUGGGAGAGCUUGAAGGCCAUGAUGAUGAGAGAAUACUGCCCACGGGGAGAAAUUCAAAAGCUUGAACACGAGCUAUGGACUCUCGGAAUGGUGGGUACCGACAUCGCUACUUAUACCAACAGAUUCUGCGAACUGGCAAUCCUUUGUCCAGAUAUGAUUGCUCCCGAGAGCAAGAAGAUAGAAAGGUACAUCUGGGGACUGACGCCCCAAAUGCGAUCAAGCGUGUUAGCUUCUAAACCUGACACCUUUGAAAGUGCUAAGGAACUGGCACAAUCUCUGAUCGACUACGGAGGUCAUCAGAACUCAACCACUUCUGCACCAGCACCACAGAAAGGAAACAACAACAACAACAACAACAACAACAACAACAACAACAACAACAAUGGCAGGAAGAGAGCGUGGAUUAAAGGGAAGGGUGGGUCUUCCCAAGAAUCCGCAAAGAAACAACUGGUGUCAGUAAAUGCUGCCAUUGUACCUGCUACAGCCCCUACAAAUACCUACCCAACAAAGCCUUAUAUAGGCAACCUCCCAAAAUGCACCAAAUGCAAUUACCACCACCAUGGACCUUGUCGAGAUAUGCAGUGCGCCAACUGCAGCAGGAAAGGACACACAGCCCGUUUCUGCAAGGAACCCGCAAAGCCGAUCACUCAAGUUCCCGGUGCGGGUGUAGGGCAGGCUUGCUACGGUUGUGGCGAGGUGGGCCACUACAAGAGAAACUGUCCUAAGGCAGCAGGCACCGGAGGUGUGGGACGAGUUUUGGCAAUAGGCCACGACGAAGCUGUAGCUGACCCAACUAUAGUUGCUGGUACGUUCCUUCUCGAUAAUUCAUACGCAUGCAUAUUAUUCGAUAGUGGAGCGGAGAGAAGCUUCGUGAGUCAAAACUUUAUUCAUUUACUUAAACCUAAACCUAGCAAGUUAGAAAAAUCAUUCACUAUAGAGAUGGCCAAUGGAAAAACCGAAAACACAAAUUGCAUAUACAUGGGCUGUACGUUAACAUUAGACGGCCAUUCUUUCCCAAUCAAUCUCAUGCCGGUUCAAAUUAAAAGUUUCGACGUCAUAGUCGGCAUGGAUUGGUUGAGUCUUCUUCGCGCCGACAUCAUGUGCUUUGAGAAACCAGUCCGGCUUAACCUCCCUAACAACGAAACAUUAGUUAUCUACAGCGACAAAUCUUGUGCAAACCUUCGCAUCAUUUCGUGCAUCCAAGCUCGAAAGUGCUUGCGGAAGGAUUGUCGAGCAUUCCUAGCGCACAUCGUCGAUACAAGUCAAGAACUGAAGGACAUCAAGAGCAUCUCGGUAGUACGCGACUUUCCCGAUAUCUUUCCAGAAGAACUACCAGGAUUACCACCGCAACGCCAAGUCGAGUUCAGAAUCGACUUAAUUCCAGGAGCUACCCCAGUAGCGAAGUCGCCUUAUCGUCUUGCACCAGCAGAGAUGCAGGAACUUUCCAGUCAACUUAAUGAACUCCUUCACAAAGGAUUCAUAAGACCAAGUUUCUCACCUUGGGGAGCACCGGUCUUGUUUGUAAAGAAGAAAGACGGAUCGUUCCGUAUGUGCAUCGACUACAGAGAGCUGAACAAACUUACUGUCAAGAACCGCUAUCCUCUACCCCGUAUUGACGACCUAUUCGAUCAACUUCAAGGGGCGAACUACUUCUCCAAAAUAGACCUGCGAUCCGGAUAUCACCAAUUACGAGUUCUAGAGGGGGACAUUCCAAAGACAGCCUUCCGAACUCGUUAUGGACACUACGAAUUCGUGGUGAUGCCGUUCGGAUUAACCAAUGCACCAGCAGUAUUUAUGGACCUAAUGAAUAGGGUAUGCCGCCCUUACUUGGAUCAGUUCGUCAUCGUCUUUAUCGAUGAUAUACUUAUCUACUCUCGAAGUGAGGAAGAGCAUAGUCAACACCUACGAAAAGUCCUAGAAACACUGCGAACGGAGAAACUCUAUGCGAAGUUCUCUAAAUGCGAAUUUUGGAUUCGAAGAGUCGAAUUUUUAGGUCACGUUGUUAGCGAGAAAGGUAUACACGUGGACCCCUCCAAAAUUAAGGCUAUUGAGAACUGGUCGGCACCAAAGACACCUACAGAAAUUCGUCAAUUUCUAGGUCUAGCUGGCUACUAUCGCAGAUUCAUAAAGAACUUUUCGAGCAUUGCGAAACCUCUUACUUCAUUAACCCAGAAAGGUGUGGCCUUUGACUGGGAAGCGAAACAAGAGAAGGCAUUCCAGACACUAAAGCAGGCCUUGUGCACCGCACCGAUACUAUCCCUCCCCGAAGGGAUAGAAGACUUCGUAGUGUAUUGCGAUGCUUCAAAUCAAGGACUUGGUUGUGUUCUUAUGCAGAGAGGGAAGGUUAUCGCUUAUGCCUCCCGACAGCUUAAGACACACGAAGUGAACUAUACGACACACGACCUCGAGUUAGGAGCAGUGGUAUUUGCUCUGAAGAUCUGGAGGCACUACUUAUACGGAACAAAGAGUACUAUAUUCACCGAUCACAAGAGCCUUCAACACAUUUUCGAUCAGAAGGAACUCAACAUGCGACAACGACGAUGGGUUGAGUUACUGAAUGACUACGAAUGCGAAAUUCGUUAUCAUCCUGGCAAGGCCAACGUAGUAGCCGACGCCCUCAGUCGAAAGGAAUACACUGGUCGGAGGGUCAAAUCUCUGACCAUGACUAUCCAUUCCCACUUAUCCACACAAAUUAAGGAAGCACAAAUGGAAGCUUUGCAACCUGAAAAUGUGGCGGGUGAAUCCCUGCGAGGAAUGGAGAAGAAUUUAGAAGUCAAGGGUGGCGGAGCCUACUAUCUCAUGGACCGAAUCUGGACCCCAAAUCAUGGUGGUUUCAGAAACGUAGUCAUGACCGAGGCUCACAACUCAAGAUAUUCCGUUCACCCGGGUUCAGAUAAAAUGUAUCUGGAUCUUAAGAAACUGUACUGGUGGCCUAACAUGAAAGCAGAAAUUGCUACCUUCGUGAGUAAAUGUCUUACUUGCGCUAAGGUUAAGGUCGAGUAUCAGAAACCGUCAGGACUACUACAACAACCAGAGAUACCGGAAUGGAAAUGGGAGUGGAUUACUAUGGACUUCAUAACCAAGUUACCCAAGACGACAAGUGGACUCGAUACCAUAUGGGUCAUUGUCGACAGAUUGACCAAAUCCGCACAUUUCCUACCCAUCAAGGAGACUGACAAAAUGGAGAAGCUUACAAGAACUUACUUAAGGGAAGUAGUGCGACUGCAUGGUGUUCCGAUAUCCAUUAUCUCCGAUCGAGAUAGUAGAUUCACUUCAAGAUUCUGGCAGUCACUACAAAGUUCCCUGGGAACCAGGCUAGACAUGAGUACAGCCUACCACCCACAGACAGACGGACAAAGUGAGAGAACAAUACAAACUUUAGAAGACAUGCUGAGAGCCUGCGUGAUUGACUUUGGAAAGGACUGGGAUAUUCAUUUACCCCUUGUCGAAUUUUCAUACAACAAUAGUUAUCAUACAAGCAUAAAGGCUGCUCCGUUUGAAGCCCUCUAUGGUCGAAAGUGCAGAUCCCCUCUGUGCUGGACUGAAGUUGGCGAUACCCAGUUAGCUAGAGGAAGAGUUCCUGAAAGCACUCUCACAGGUCCGGAGAUCAUACGUGAAACAAUAGAGAAGAUCGUUCAGAUUUGUGAACGAUUGAAAGCCUCAAGAGACCGACAGAAAAGCUACGCUGACCAAAGGAGCUGUUCAUCUUCCUCAUCAAGCUUCAACAAUGGUUGAAUCAUCUUCAAUUCAAGAACACACUGCUCAAUUCACUUUCCUCACGAUCAAACCCAAUACGAACCUGAUCAUUGAUUUGACGGCUUUCAAGUAUGAUUCAUUCAUACUAAUGAUCAUCGAAUGCCUGAAAUAUUCGCCAUUGUUAAUCGCUUUAACCAAAUUAAUGUUGUUCCUAUGUCACUCCUAUCACAAGUCUACUCUUUAGCGAAGUAUGUCAAGGAGAACGAACACAUUAUGUUCGAGAUUUUCAAUAAGAAAACAUUCGUCUCUAAAUUAAGGUUUUGCUCUCCGUUAGGGCUACUUCAUGAGGCAUCAAUGGUGAAUCCUGACUCGAUUUCUAAAGCUCAGCUCUUUGAAAUGUUCUGCAACAUGGGGUAUACUGAUCUUCUCUCUACUAUCACAAAGUUCAAGAAGUCUUGCCUUCCUCCUCAAUAGAAUGGGUUGUCUACCCUGCUCUUCAAAAGUUUUUCUAAAUGAAGUGCUGGAUAUGAUGGUGCUAGCAAAGCUUUUCUGCCAUUCUUUAUGGUUUAUACCAUGGCGUCAAUCUCGAUUAUGGGUCUAUUCUCUAGACUCAACUGGUUCAAAUCUUGAGUUCUUCUUCUCGUCACACUGAGAUUUCAUGUGGGAGAUUCUGGACCAUUAUUACUCAAUGGGUUAUGGAGAAAUUUUGAGUUCCUGUUAUGGCAGAUUCUUUAAUGUAUUCUAUUUCUACUUUCCACACCACAUAUAUUAUUCUCUCAGACUUCUCCAAAUUCGCUUUUGUUGGGACAAUUCCUGAGUCAAUGUACAGAUGUGUUUCAGAUGCAAGCAAAUUCAUUACUGAAUACAAGAAACUUCCAGCUUCGGGUCCAAGACCCCUUACUUCAGAGAUGCAAACCUCCAUUGAUGAAGCUGACAAGCCAAAGAAAGGAUGUAAGAAUAAGGAUAAGAGAAAGUAGAUUCAAGAUGGACCCUCAUCUAAUCUUGUCACUCCUAAGAAGCGAAAGGGUUCAAAAGCAGAACCUUCGGCUCCUAAGAAGCGCAAAAUAAAGAAGAUUGCACACAAGCUGAAAUCUCCAUCAUCCAAUGAUAGUGAAUAUGUUCCAUCUUAUCAAGAUAAUGUGGUUAUACUCGAAACAAAGCAAGAACAUUCUGAGUAUUCGGUUCAUGAAGACUUACCCAAUGUAAUACAUACUAACACUAUUCCGUCUCCACCUCCUUCUCCUCCUCAUACUACUGUUCCAAUCACUAUUGCUCCAAGCCCUCCUCCAACUCCUACUUCUACACCAUUACCCCCACCAAUAUUCACCGAAACAACCACCGCUACCACUAAUACCGAACCUCCACUUCAUGUCAAUGCAUCUGAUGUAGGGGCACAAACUUCAGGUGUUGAAACCCCCAAUUACUUAACAACCAUUGUCUCCAACUAACUAUGCUAAUUCUAAAACCAUUCAUUGUGGAAAUGGUAUGGAUUUUGAUACCUUCCAUUUUAGCCCCUACACUAUUCAGAGUGAUGAUGAUGAUGACGCUCUAGUUACCAAAAGUCAAAUCAAAGCUAUGAAUGAGAAGCUUGAUACUCUACUCGCCUCUUCAUCUCAAUCCUCCACAUCAGCCUACUCCGAAGCUAUUGUUCAAGCUCUGGUCGCUAUACUAGUUAAGUAACAUGAUACCUCUAUUGAGAAAGCAACAAAGGGUAUUGAUGCUUCCACAGAGUCUUGCAAGAAAGCGAUCGAAAAUGUCGAAAAACUAAUUUCUAAUGCUAAACUAUUUUUGGAGUCUCUACAAGCUGCAUCAGAUAAAAAUGCAAACAUUGUCAAUGCCACAGUCGAGAACCUUUCCGCUUCCCUACAAGCCUUAGAAGAGAAAUUUAAACAUGUUCUCCAAUGAAUUCAAACCGAUCAUAUGACGCUUCAAUCAUGUAUCAACUCUCGCCUUGACAAACUCCAAGCUGACUUAGCCUUAGUAAAUAAAGUUAUGGAUGAACUUGCUUGACAAACUACUCUGCUCAAAAAACAAUAUGUCUUGCUCACCCAAACGAACAAGGAAAUUAUUGAUCUAAAGUCUGAGCAACAACAGUAAAACGCUAUGUUGGUCAUGUCCAUGCUAUAUGUUCCAAUCUGCUGGAGGCCCAUGAUAUGGUUUUAACUAUCACUAUCAGGAGGUGUUUGGCUGAAAAACUACGUACUGCAUUUUUCAUGCUAAAUAGGAUUGAAGGUGUUUCGACAGGAAAGUGUCCCUCCAAAACAAGGGGGAGAAGCAAGUCAUGUUCCACCACAACAACCUCCCACAAGUAAAACUCCAACAAAUGAAACUUCUUAACCACCUCCAGUUAAACCCAUUGUCACUAAUGAACCGAAGGGUAACGAAGCUUCCGGUUCAAAGGUGCAAGAUAAACGAAAGAAGAUUGUUGGCAAACAUGAAAAAGAAGAUGAAACCAAAUAAGAGACAUUAAAGCGAAAACGUCGUGACCGAGAGCUUGAUGAAAAUGCUUGGAUCGCGAAAGAAGAAGAAGAGAGGGAACGUAAAGAAAAAGAAGCCCAUGACACUUCGGAAAGUAGAAAAACUCUCUUUCCAUUGUGGACUUUGGAAAAGUUGCUGAAGGAAGCAAUCGAGUCUCCAAGCACUCAUUGGCUUGAGCCAGUCACUUCUUUUGACUCUGAGAAUUCUAAAGACUCACAUUUUGAUUUGUCAAUCACCCGAAGGGCAUUUAUUUUUCACUAUUUCGAGUCGAUUGCCUGUAAUCCCUCACCAGACCCGAAGGUUUAUAGAGAGCUGAUUAAUUAUUAUCUUGCUUUCACGCAACCUUAAUACCUGACUUGGAGUUCAUAGAAAAUUACCAUUGUAAAGGUAUUGAAGCCAGCUAGCACAGGGAACUUCAUAAAUGGGAAUUUUCGGGUCACUCACGGUUCUGAAGAUUAAGUUCAUGAGAUUUCUCUUUCCGACCUACCGAAUCUCAAUCCUCAUGAUUGGAUUGUAUUUACGAACUAUUUACUAACUAAUGAGCAGAAACACGAACCCAUUCUUUCCUUAUAUCAAGCGAAUGUUGGUUUCGUACAUACACGAAGUAGCCGGUGAUGUGAAUGAAAUGUGUAUGGGCCAGAUUGACACCGAAUACUGGACGGUGAUGUUUACUAAAGGAUCUAAUCCUCUGUUGAAAUGACGUUUUAACUUACCCGACAAACAUUUGUUUUCCACUAUCUGUCUUGAACAUAUCCUGGAUAUAAUUAACAUAUCUAAAUCCAAUGAUGCUGCUGAAAAAGAAGAACUUCAAUAACAUGCUUCGGUGGCACAUCAAAUUUCGUUGCACUAUUCUUUCUAUCAUACCAAAACUGUUCAAAAUAGUAAAGAAGACAACUCUUGCACUAAAGUAGUGAUCUCUCUUCUAUUGACCCGUAGGGGGGUAAUGCUGGGUAUAGAAGAUUGUGUCAUUGGGCUUAUUAAGUUAGUCCAUUUUGUAUACGGUAUUGGGCCUGUCCAACCGUGUAUCAUUUAUUAGGGUUUACUUCAUAUAAUGCAUGCAUGCACCGUAGUAUGUAUGCUGAUAGAAGUUAAUUUUCUGAUUGAUUACUUUCUAACCCUAGCACAACCUCUAAAGUAGCAGUUCUUCAUAGAGCUCUUCUGAGGUUGUGGAUUAUUAAUCAUUUGACAUCAUUCUUGAAUUAUCUUGUGUUCUUAUUUAAUUUACAUUCUUGGAUUUCUUGUUAAGAAUCUAUUCGAACUUAUAGUUCUUUAAGUUUCACCAAUAUCUCAUAAAUAUAUCAUAACACAAAAGUAAGGGUGUUUUGGGAAAUCACCGCUUAGGAUAUGGUUGAUUUUACACACUACUCCAACUCGUUUUCUCUUAAACUCUUUCUCAUUUUAGAAGAAUUAUCUCUUUUCAAAAAAUUUCUCAAAUCCUCAGUUUGAGUCCAAACACAUCCGGAUCCCUCAAACCAAGGCUCUGAUACCAACUUGAAACGGUGUAAAUUAUCAAACUAAGUUUUUGAAUUUUCAAACACAAUAAAACACAUGUCACAUUUUCUCAAAAGUCUCAAAUAUAAAUUUUACAACACAUAUUUCAAAAAUUGUUUUUUGCAAAUCAAAGAUCCUCUAAAAUCAUAUCUCUAAUGCGGGUGUGUGUAUAAUCAAGUCGGUGACUUCCCGCGAUCUUGAGACGUACCACGAAGCUUAGAGAGUUCCCCAAAAUACCACAUACACAAAUAAUUAGCCUCUCAUGGCUACAACUAGGAAUGGACCCUCCGGUAUCAUGCGUCUCGGAGAGGAGCCUCCAGUCUCAUGGCUCGGUAUGGACCCUCUAGUCCUGUCUCACAGUGGGACCCUCCAGUCCUACAGCUCGGGUGAACCCUCCGAUCCUAGCUUGGGUGGACCCUCCGGUCCUACUCAGUAAGCUUAGAAUAAUACACAACAUAAAUCGCAUAGACAUAAUGCAAGAUAUCACAGUACUCAAAUAAGCACAUAGUACCCUUUGGUAACAUAACUUAGAUUACCACUCUUGGUAUGUAUAGUGGGAAGACUUACCUUGUAACCAACCAAUUAAAAAUCUCGUACUCGGAAAUCUCGAACUAGCCUCCGCCUAACACAUAGCAUAAUUAUCUCUAAUUAAUACUCUACUCAUACUCAAAUUAUACCAACGGUGGUUCUCUCUCUCUCUCUCUCUCUCUCUCUCUCUCUCUCGCUCUCUAAUUCUUGGAAAGGGAAAAAGACCAUUUCACCCCUCCAUGGUCACCAUUACUCAUAUUUGACCAAACCCUAAAGUCAACAGAUGUCAAACUCGAGUCAACAGUCCAUGUUUGACUCGAAUCGCCGAGUGCACCCACGUGACUCGUCAAGUACACUCAUUUUCCUCAGAAGUCUCAUGAAUGUCCAACUCAGCUCCUCGAGUUGACCCCCAAGUCGCUGAGUUAUCGCAUGAUCAUGCUCAUCGGGACAAACCCUAACCGACUCGUUGAGUUGGCUCAUCGACUCGGCGAGUUCAUUUAAACUCAUUUUUCAUUCAUACAAUUUCAAGGCAGAAAACCUUCCCAAACCCUAAAUCUAAACUCUCAAGGCUCGUUUAUCACAUAAAGCCACGAGCUUUACGUCCAUGGAUCCCACUUACGGCUUAAAAUGCAAAGAACAUGCUCUAUUAAGGGGUUUUCACUCAAGUGCUCGAUUAUGGAUAAAUAAAGCAGUGACCUUUCGACUCUAGGGGCCUCACAAGGUUCAGAUCUGAAGUCCAAAACUCUAUAUGAACUAAAUACACUCAAAGUCCGAAUAUUAGAUGGAAAAAGCCCUAAACUCCAUAAUCAUGAGAUCUACCCAAUAAAAUGAGAAAGGUGUGGACUUUUUACCUUUCACGGAAGCUCUUGGAUGGAAUAGCCACAUAUCUAAUAGUCCCUUCUCAUCCCAUGGCGUGGAAUCCUUCCCUUCUCUUCAAAAGUUGCACCAAAUACUCAAUGUUAGCUCAAAUACUAUCUUUUAGCUCAAUGGACGAUUAGGGUUUUCUCUCAGUAAAGUUGGGAAACUGGUGAGAUGGAAAUGAGGCUAUAAGUGUUCUUAAAUAGGCCCCAAACCUGGGGCUUUAGGGUUUCAUCACUCAUUGUCUACUCAGCGAGUCGACUCUCUGACUCGUCGAGUAGGUCACUAAUCCCACGUGGCCAAGCACGACUCUACUCAACGAGUUGUAGCUGCAACUCGUCGAGUUGCUCAAUAGUCCUCAAAAUGAAUAAAUAAAUAAUAUACCUGGGAGUCCGGAUGUUACAUCAUGGUGUUAAUCAGGUGCUCUAUUGUUAUGGGUGACGGUUGCCAUUGAGUGACAAUUGUUAUCGAUGUGGUUCCAGUGAUUGGACCUAAUGCUUGUGUUGUUGGCGUGUGGGUGCAGGUUUGUCUGUAUGAUGUAGAUGGUUGUGUGCCAUCGAGCAGCAACAUUAAUCUGACUAGAAUCAUUUCUCCUACACCAGACGUCAUAGGUUCCUUUCCCAACAUCUCUGUCGUCUAGAGUUGUCUCAAGGUUAUGUAAAUCUGAGUACACGCCUAGUUAGUGCCAAAUAUUGUGAUAUUUCUCUCAAGAUUAACAUCGUCCCAGAAUAGCUUCGCCUAGGUUAAGCCUGUGAAUCACAACAAAGAAAGAAGUCACGUCAGCCAUCGUCUAGGAGGAGGUCUCUAUGAAACAAGUACGCUGGGCAUACUCCUUCGGUACGCUAGGCAUACUCCCUUGGACAUACCUCAAAGUUUGUGCCCUAAACUUAAAAAAUUCAUAACUUUCACAUACGAACUCCAUUUUUGAUGUUCUUUAUGUCAAUGUAAAGGUAGGACUAUACUCUACAACUUUUGUUUAAACCCCGUCGGCUAAUUUUGACUUUAUUUUUAAAGUUAUAUUUUUAACAGGCCUGGACAGGAAAAGUCUGUUAAAAAUUCAUAACUUCUUCAUUUGACGUCCGUUUUUGUUUGUCUUUUUACCGUUGAACUACUAUCAACAAGAUCUUCAAUUCUUGUUUUGGCUAAAAAAUUACUUGAUCUAAAAUUCGAGAUUUAGGAUGCAUACUAUUAUGCCAAAUCUUAGAAAAUUCAGAACUUCCUCAUACGAAGUCAGAUUUGGACAUUUUUUUUAUUCACACUCUCUAUUUAACGUAAACUAAGACUUUCAUUUAGCUCGUUAAGGCUAAAAAGCACUUUAUUGUAAAUUCACUUUCUAUGCCACACAACGUUGUACCAGUUCUAUCGCAAAACUUCGACAUGUCAUAGCUUCUUCGUUAUAACUCGGAUUUCGGUACUCUUUAUGUCUCCAGAAUCCUUGUUUCAACCACUAAAACUUCAUUUUUACAUAUUGAGAUUAUCUAAUAUUUAUUUUUGAUGUUUAUUUUUACUAUCCUUAAUUCAUUAAAUAAUAAUUAAGUAAAUAUGCACAUAAUUCACAUAAUAUUCACAUAAUUCCUCUUUGUUACUUUAAAACGAGUUACAAAGGUUAACCUAGUCUAUUACAUUAUCUAUAGUGCUUAGCCCAAAAGCACGGGCGUUGCAAUUCUCUCCCCCUUAGGAUGAUUAUGUCCUUGGAAUCACACAUCAACAAACAAAUGUGCAUAGCAACUCAUCAUGUCACUCUAUAUUUCCCAGGUGAGAUUUGGCUCAUUCGCAUGUUUGCAUCGCACAAGCACUAAUUCGUCCAUCUUCCGUCGCAACUUCUUACUCUUACGGUCAACGAUUGCCUCUGGUUCUUCUAUUAACCUAUUGCUUUCAUCCAAAUCUAAUUCAGAAAUUAGAAUUAUGUCGAGAACAUCUCCCCUGAACUUCCUGAAAUAACACACAUUGAAAGUGUUAUGAAUAUCAUCUAGUUCUUCUGGUAGUUCUAGCUUGUAAGCUUGGUACCCAAUCUUUUGAAUAACUUUAAAUGGUCUAAUAAACCUUGGACUCAACAUUCCUCUUUUAAUGAAUCUUAUAAGUCCCUUCAACGGUGAGACUUUAAGUAAAACCAAAUCACGAACUUCAAAUGUUAUCGGUUUUCUUUUCUUGUCAGCAUAGCUCUUUUGACGAUCCUAAGUUGAUAACGUCCUUUCCCUAAUAACUUUUAACUUUUCAGCAGUCUGAUGAACUAUCUCGGGUCCUAUAAACUGUUUUUCUUCAGCUUCAAGCCAACAUGAUGGCGUUCGACACUUUUGUCCAUGCAAAGCUUGAUAAGGUGCCAUCUUGAUGCUUGAGUGGAAACUAUUAUUGUAGGAAAAUUCUACCAAAGGUAAAUGCUCAUCCCAAUUACCUUGGAAUUCCAGGGUACAUGCUCUUAGCAUAUCCUCCAAUGUUUGAAUCGUUUGUUUGGUCUGACCAUCAGUUUGCAGAUGGUAAGCUACUUAAACACAAUUCUGUACCCAAUUCCUCUUGUAGACUUCUCCAAAACCUUGGCGUGAAACGACUAUCACGAUCUGAUACAAUCGUUAAAGGAACAUCGUGAAGUCUCACUAUCUCAUUUAUGUAAGUAUUUGCAAGCUUAUCUAUAGAUCACUUCUCACUGGUUGCUAUGAAAUGUGCACUUUUUUGUAAAUUGAUCAACGACCACCCAAAUCAUGUCGUGACCGCUUUUCGUUAUGGGCUGUUUAGUUACAAAAUCCAUGGUGAUGCCUUCCUAUUUACCCAUGGGUACAGGUAAAGGUUCUAAACUCCCAUAUGGUUUCUGAUGUUGUGCCUUAACCCUCGCACAAGUGACACAUAUGGCCACAUACUUUGCAACAUCGAGGUUCAUCGUCGGCCACCAGGAGUAGGGUUUUAGAUCCCUAUACAUUUUUGUGCUACCGGGAAGAAUUAAGUACAUGGUCUUUUGAGCUUCCUCCAUUAGAAGAUCUCUUAUUCCUCCUGCUUUAGGUACCCAAAUCCUAUCUUGGAAUACCUUCAGUCAUUGACCGUUUAUAUCGAACACUAACAUUUUGCCCAAACGUUCUUCUUUUCGGCGUUCUUCUCUAAAUCUUCUAUCUUAAGCUUUCAUAAUGCUUUCUACAAUCGUUGAGACAACUUUAACUCUCAACGCUUUUAGCCUUUUCUUUUCAAGGUGUACCUUCUAACUAAUAGCAUCAACGACAUCAUUUGCUUUACCAGGGUGGUAAAGUAUCUCACAGUCAUAAUCCUUGAGUAACUCUAGCCAGCGUCGUUGCCCCAUGUUAAAUUCUUUCUGAUUAAAGAGAUACUAAAGACUCUUAUAAAAAGUGAAAAAUUUACAUUUUGUUCCAUAAAGAUAAUGCCUCCAUAUCUUUAGAGAAAAUACUACCACUGCCAACUGCAGAUCAUGUGUAGGGUAGUUAUUUUCAUGUUCUUUCAAUUGUCUCGAUGCAUAUGCUAUCACCUUAUCCUUUUGGGUCAGAACACAACCUAACCCAACUCUAGAUGCAUCGUUAUAAGAUGCAAAGUCUUGAACUCCUUCGGGAAAAGAAAGAAUCGGUGCUUCACAUAAUUUCUUCUUUAACUUCUCAAAGGCUUCCUUAUGCUUUUCACUCCAAGUAUAAGUAGGUCCUCUGUGGGUUAAAGUUUUCAAUGGAGUAGCUAUCAAAGAAAAGCGUUGGAUAAAUCUUCGAUAAUAUCCAACUAAUCCAAGAAAGCUUCGGAUCUCCGUAGGAUUCUUUGGUUGUUCCCACUUUGUUAUAGCUUCAAUCUUAGCUGGUCAACCAUAAUCCCUUUUUGGUUAACCACAUGACCCAAAAAUUGGACUUAUUGAAUCCAAAAAUCACAUUUGGAGAACUUGGCAUACAACUCCUCCUUGUUUAAUACUUUUAACACUUCUCGCAAGUGCAUGUCUUCCUGGUUUUUCGAGUAAAUCAGAAUGUCAUCUAUGAACACUAUCAUGGAUGUAUCGAGGAAUGGUUUAUAAACCCUUUUCAUCAAAUCCAUGAAGGCUGUUAGAGCAUUGGUUAGUCCAAAUGACAUAACCAAUAACUUGCAGUGUCCAUAUCUGGUUAUAAAUGUAGUCUUUUCAAUAUCCUACUCUCUUACUUUUAGCUGAUGGUAUCCUGACCUAAGAUCGAUCUUCGAGAAAUAACUCGAACCUUGUAACUGAUCAAACAGGUCAUCAAUUCUUGGCAACGGGUACUUGUUCUUUAUUGUUUCCUUAUUAAGCUCUCUGUAAUCUAUGUACAUUCUCAUGCUCCCAUCUUUCUUCUUCACGAAUAACACUGGAGCUCCCCAGGGUGAUGAACUAGGUCUAAUGAAACGGUUGUCCAAUAACUCCUGAAGUUGCAUCAUAAGCUCCUUCAUCGCCGUCGAUGCUAAUCGAUAUGGUGCUUUUGCUAUUGGUGUUGUUCCUGGUAACAAGUCUAUUCUGAACUCUACUUGUCUAUUAGGGUGAUCCAGGAAGAUUUUCGGGAAAAACUUCCAGAUAGUCACACAUCACUGGUAUGCUUUGCAUUUCCUUAUGUUCCUUCUUGGCAUCGAUCAUGAAAGCAAAGAAUGAUGUACAACCUUUAGACAAAUAUUUUUUGGCUUUCAUCAGGGAAAUGAUUCCAAAAUUCACUCUGUGUUUGUCUUCGUACACCAUAAAUGAUUCUUUUCCAGGUGGUUUACCCUCACCAUCUUUUUCUUGCAUAGUAUUUUGGCAUCAUUGGCACUAAGCCAAUCUAUCCCCAUAAUGAUAUCAAAACCAUUUAACUCGAUGGGUAACAACUUCUCAUGGAAUUCGUUUCCAUUUAAGUUGAUGACAAUGUUCUUGUAACACCCGGUCUUAGGUACGCAUUUAAAUUCAAAGCAACUUCAUAUUUACCCAUGGACUUGACAAGUUGAAGGCCCAACUUGUCGAGUAGGAUUGACUCUGGGCCGAGGGAUUAAGUAACCGACUAGACAAGUCGGAAGGCCAACUCGGCGAGUAGGAGUUGUCUAAGUGAAACCCUAAAUUGGAGGGUUUGCACCCUAUUUAAACAACUUAUGAGUCUUCCACCCUAGCCUCCAUCACCUCUAGAGCAUUAAUCCUGAAACCCUAAUCCUUGAUAAGUGAACUUUAGCAUUCUUGGUUGUUUUGAGUGUUAUUUGGUGCAUCUUGAAGCUAGUGGAAGAAGAAGAAGAUAGAAGACUCAAGGAAGAAGGAGUAAAUCUAGGAACUACACUCCAUUUGCCAUCUUUUUUGGUAAUCAAGCUUCAAACUUGAUCAUCUUUCUCUUAGGUCUAUUUAUCCCCAUAUUGAGAAGGUUUUGGCUCAAAAAACUUAAUCCUUGGUGUUGGAACAUCCCAACUGGUUCAUAUCUCAGAUCUAGGCUCUAGGGAGAGUUACAAGGAAUAAAGAUGCAAGCUUUAUGGCCAUGGUAGCCCCAUGCAUAUUAUAGACCUCAUUUUUGGGUCUUUUAAGGUUAUAGUCCCAUGUAUGGACGUAAAGUUCAUGACUUUACGUGUUAUAUCGACCUUAAGAGCCCGGAUCUACCCUUUGGAUGAAAUUAGCACAACAGAAAUUGAUAUAUGGGCAUGAACAUUAGUCAACUCGGUGAGUCGUUCUUAGGAAUCGACGAGUCGGGGGUUUGGUUCCCCAACAUUUGCUUAUUCGAAGGGACCUAUUUGAGUCCAGACAGUAUUUAGAUGUGUAACAUGUUGGAUUAGUGUCUAAGUCCAUAACUAUUUUGGUAUGUACUUGACCCGAUGGUGCAUGGUCCUUUUGGGUUGCCUUCACCAAAGCAACUUGAUAGGAUGAAUUAUGGAGAGAAAGGAUUAAAUAUGAUUUAUUAAUAUAUUAUGAGAAUAAUAUAUUAAAUGAGAAAUCAUAUUGUUAAUUAAUAAUAGUCAAUAAUUAAUUGGUAAUUAGUUUUGUGACUAAAAGAGAUUAAUUAAACUUAAGGGACUGGAAUUGUAAUUAUAAGAUAAUUGCAAUAUGGGCUAUGGAUUGCCUUAAAUUAAGGAUUGGACGAAUUCUAUGGGAAACCCAUGGGGAAAUCAUCCAAGGCCUUAAGGAAAGGGAUCCAUGGGUUGCUUAGGGCUUAAGCAUCCAAAUUAGGGUUUCCUUGUAAGAUAACCCUAAUAGCCUCACUAUAUAUAGAUCCCUUAUGCCUCAAAAACGUGGCUAUGACUCCUUCUAGGGUUUGUAAACGUUUUAGGGCAGCCUUCUUCCUCUCUCCUCUUCAUCCUCUUGCUUAUGGUGUUUGUGAACCAUUAGAGGAGUGACAUUUGUGACUCUAAGCUUUCUAAAGUCAAUACAAGGAGAUUUGGGAUUGUUAUUACUACAUAACAAUCAAGGUAACAUCUUAAACCUAUUCUUAUGUUAAUAUGAUUACUUGUAUGCUAGAAUUAGGGUUUAUAGUCUUGGAUAACUUGCAUGUACAAUAGAGAAACCUAGAUCCAAGCAUUAGGGUUUGUAUGAGCACAUAGGAUGUUCUUANNNNNNNNNNNNNNNNNNNNNNNNNNNNNNNNNNNNNNNNNNNNNNNNNNNNNNNNNNNNNNNNNNNNNNNNNNNNNNNNNNNNNNNNNNNNNNNNNNNNNNNNNNNNNNNNNNNNNNNNNNNNNNNNNNNNNNNNNNNNNNNNNNNNNNNNNNNNNNNNNNNNNNNNNNNNNNNNNNNNNNNNNNNNNNNNNNNNNNNNNNNNNNNNNNNNNNNNNNNNNNNNNNNNNNNNNNNNNNNNNNNNNNNNNNNNNNNNNNNNNNNNNNNNNNNNNNNNNNNNNNNNNNNNNNNNNNNNNNNNNNNNNNNNNNNNNNNNNNNNNNNNNNNNNNNNNNNNNNNNNNNNNNNNNNNNNNNNNNNNNNNNNNNNNNNNNNNNNNNNNNNNNNNNNNNNNNNNNNNNNNNNNNNNNNNNNNNNNNNNNNNNNNNNNNNNNNNNNNNNNNNNNNNNNNNNNNNNNNNNNNNNNNNNNNNNNNNNNNNNNNNNNNNNNNNNNNNNNNNNNNNNNNNNNNNNNNNNNNNNNNNNNNNNNNNNNNNNNNNNNNNNNNNNNNNNNNNNNNNNNNNNNNNNNNNNNNNNNNNNNNNNNAAAUUCCCAAUCUUAGUUACUUAGGCAAAAGUGAAUUGAUGCAAUUCCAUGAAAUUACACUUUGUGCCCUUGCGAAGACGUUAGUGGAGCGUGUGUGGUUUACUGGCACACUAAAUGGUUCUAACCAUCGUAGCAAAGCGUGACUCAAUGUUUGUCAUAAUUCGGUGGAGUGUGUGUGGUUUACCAGCACAUAGAAUAGGUGACUGUAACAUGUGGGGGCACCAUGUAAGUUUGCAUGGUUAUUCACACCCGCUUUGUGAUCCUCGGCAUCCCAGUCACAAACAAGAGGGGCAUAUCGAGAUUUAAACAUGCCAUUGAAAUGUUCAAUGAAUCUCAAAGGAUCUAGGAGUUUUCAUAGAUUUAAAACUUAAAUUUCCUUUUCGUUUUUCAUGGUGGAAAUUAGUGAAUCGUCAUUCACUUACCUUCAAAUAUUCUGCAACUAGAUUACGACAUCCCUUUUCUAGGUUGUAGCAUAUUGUGUUGGGUCCUAGCCUUAGUAUCUCAUUUGGGUGAUUUACUAAGGACUCAAUCAAUCAACUAACUUGAAUUCGUUUUCUCCCGUUUUGUAGAUGUCAAAGUUUGACAACUAUGGUCUUCUCAAAUCCCGUGGAACAAGCAUUCCACAUGAAGAUGAUAUUCCACGAUUCGAUCGAGGAACAAGAGAUCAUGCUUCACUUCCUCCACCUCCUCAAAUUAUUCUCCCUAACCCACAAGUUCAAAGGCUUGAAAAGUUCAAGAUCACUCAAGCCCUUUUGGCAAGUAAACAUAAAGAAGGAAAGUCGGUGUGUGCACACGUCCUAGGGAUGAAGUCACACAUUGAUAGGUUAAGAAUGUUGAGAUUCGUUGUCUGUAAGGAAAUGGCUAUUGAUUGGUUCUUCAGUGACUUCCUAACUCAUAUAGUGAGUUCGUAAGAGAGUACUAUAUGAUGAACCGCGACGUGACCCUUAUAGAUCUCACCUAUAUGCUUAUUGCUGCUGAAUCAGCAAUGGUUUGGCGCAAUAGAAAAGCAAAGUUGAUUGGUGAAUCUGCCUUCAAGACCUCUAUGGAUAUAGACAAUGGCAACGAAAGACAUGCUAUGAUCGAAAAGUUUGAUCAUAAGAGAAAGGCAAUGUCUGAAGUAGUUCCAUGUCCUGUUCCAAAAGAGUCAAUUUGCUUUUAUUGCCAAGAGAAAGGGCAUUGGAGACGAAGCUGCCCCAUUUACCUAAGAGAUCUAAGAGAUGGGAGAGUCGAAACGUAUGGCUCUAAUAUAGGUAAAAUCCAUUAACUAACUCUUUUAAGCUUCUAUUCUAGAUUCUUAAUACAUAAUGUGAUAAGAUUACAAUUGAUGUUUUGUAGGAUCGAAGAAAAGAAAGGAAGCUUAAGGGAAGAAGUGAGCAGAAUCUAACCGUGAAGGUAUGGAUUUCGACCGCAUUUCUCGAAGAUUAGAUUCUUGAGCUACUACUUAGAGUUAGAAUUAGAUUGCUAAGAAAGAUGUAUUAGCAUAGUUUUUCAAUGAAUUGCAUUGUAAGGAAAAUUUUUUCCACAAUAAAAUAAAUUUUAUAUUUAUAUUAUUUAUUUAUCCUUGCAAUGGCGUAUAUGAAAAAUUGAUGUUUGAAUGUUUCUAUUAUUAGCAAUAAUGGAUUUGGUUCUUAUUAUGUUAUUUAUGGAAAGUCGAGAGUUUACCAAAUAGGGAGAGUUUCUCAUCGCCCAAGUUUCAAUUGGACAGAAACUUGGAAUCAUGCAACUUGGUUGCACGAUGAAUGAGAAAUUUCAUAUUUGGAAAUUAGACUAAUUCAUUGACAAAGUGUCAAGUGAAGGACUAGGAGAUCGAGUACACAAAGUUGCGUGUUGAUCAAGUCCACCAUAAGAGUAACAAGAUAUUCGUCAUGAUUUACUAAAGGUUUAGUAAAUAUGAUUAUACUUAUAAGAUUAAGUGUAAUUCUGAAUUGAUUGAAAAGGUUUAAAUCAAUAGCAGAACGAAUAAGAAGAAUCAAGUAGGCAGAAAGAUAAAAGUUUCUCCAUUCUAAGAAGAAGGGAGAGUACCUUUUAUGCUUUAUGAUAGGUCUUAAUGAUUAAGAACCAUAUCUCAAUUGAUCCUCUAAGUGAGUCUUAGUACAAUUGUAUGUCUAAGAAGAGGAAUCAAGAAUUGAAGAAAUGGUUAAAUCAAGAAGUCAAUCAUACUUCGUUCCAAAACAAGUCUUAGAGUUAAGAUUGUGAAAUUGAGUGAUAAGUAUUAAGAAGGUUUAUAACAUUCAUCAAAUGUGGAAAGUUGUGAUGUCUUGGAUAAGACAAAGACCAACUAGGACCAAUUUAUGAAGUGUUUUGAUAAAAGCUACACUAACUCUUGAAUAUUUGUUUGUCAAGAAAUGGUUAUUGACAAGAGAAUCUUAUAUGUCAAGGAGUCAGUGGGAGUCUUAAUGGUCUUGAAAGGUUUCAAGAACAAAUCAAAUAAACCUUAUCGAUCAUCACUAGCACACGAGUUGAGGUUUACAACCUAUCGUGUUGACAUUAUUUUGUUUCUGUGCCAAUCCAAUCGAGUUAAUUAUGCAUGUGAGUUCUAUGAGUUCUCAUUUUGAACGCAUAAAAGGCAAAGCACCUUAAUCAAUGAAAGGUACAUUGAUAGGAAAGGGUGAGCUGCUUAACUACUUGGAAGACAUGGUGGGCAGCUGUGCUACCAUAAGGCAAGAAAUCAAGAUUAAGAAAGUUCGGUCCAUAUGAGUUUGAAUUUGUCGUAAACUUUGGUUUUAACAAAUUCACAUGGAUAGGAACACAUACACCGUUUAAAUCUAAGUGUCAUAAGAUUUCCUCCUUCAUGAAAAUGAUUGUGAGGAAAUGCUUUCACUAAGAAAGAUUUUAAGAAGAUAGUGAUUGUAAAAUUGCAUUCUCGAAUUCGAUUAUGGUUACGGUAUCCCUUUCCAUAAUUUGAAUUGUGAGGUUUGGCAAUUGUUUAGACACACAUAUGAACUAUCUAAGGCAAAGGUGUAUAAGUUCAAGAAGCCUUGAUAAAAGAUUAUCAAAGCACUAAGUAUUAGAAACAUGAACUUAAGAAAUUCAAUAAGCAUUGUUUUUCUGAAAGUUAAGCUGUUUCUGAAUACAUGUCAAAGCUAGUGGGAGCAUAAGUGUUAUGUUUAUAAUAAUCAUCAUGAUAGUGGGAGCAUAAAUGUUAUGAUUAUAUGAUUAUUAAGGCACGUAUUGCAAGUUGGCAAUAUUAAUUAUAGAAAACAAGAGUUAUACCUUGCAAAGUCGUAAGGGUUGUAAGGUUGUUUUGCUAUAAUUAAGGGAGAGAAUAUUAUGCUUCAUUUCAAAUCUAAAGGCUUAGGUUGAGAAAUGUUAAUAAAUUUAGUCAAAGGUACAUAGUGUGUUCUUAAAAUUUCGAUUAUGAUUACGACAUUCCUCUUCACAAUUCGAAUUUUGAGAACAUAGCAAAUGAAAUAUUAUGGCGGAAGAUUGAUAAAGUAUCAAAUCUUUAUGUAAGACAUUAUGCAUUGUCUCCCAUACGCUUCGGGUAUAGGAUUGAUUGCAUAGGCUAUAACAUUUGACCAUUCUAAAAUUUUCCAAAUGUCUAGCGCAUUUAGAGGGAAAAGGGACUAGAAUCGGUUUUGACUAAAAUAAUUAAACAUCUAUCAAAGGACAAUCCAAAGUUCGCCGAGGAUUGGUCGCUUGUGAGUAGUUAGAAGUAUAGUAUUGGAAGAUAUGGAAAUGUUUCCAUAUUGGAUGGACCAUAUCGACAUUAUUAUGAAUAGAUAAGAUUCUAUUAAGAAUGAGUUGUCAUAUGGAAAAUAUGGAAAUGUUUCCAUAUUGGGAAUUGAAUAUUGAAAAAUGUAUGACUAGAUUAGAAGCUUUUAUGCAAACAGGAUGUACAAAUGAAUGUACAUUGAGUGAGAGACAUCAUAUCUAAGGAAUUGUCUUGUAACAAUCCCCGAUAGAAGACUUUGUAAUAUCAUUGGCAAUAGUCUUCGUGACUUUGGUGCAGUGACAUUACGAAAGGAUCGUUGCAUAGAAUAUUAGAAUCUAGCAUAUUCUAUAAGUAGCAAGAAUUUGAUAUUCUUUCACUUAUGAAAAAGUAUUUGGAGUUGUGAAAUGAGAAUGAUUGGAAGUGUGUUCAAUUUGAUCUAUUUCACAAAGUAAGAACCAUAGGUAAACAUUGUGUGCAUGCUAAGAGCAUGGGACAAGUGU
This 44121-nucleotide long non-coding RNA is filed under the name Lactuca sativa (garden lettuce). RNAcentral describes it as "long non-coding RNA (LSAT_LNC001339)". The record is from RNAcentral. Lineage: Eukaryota; Viridiplantae; Streptophyta; Magnoliopsida; Asterales; Asteraceae.